Molecule: transfer RNA, 73 nt
Filed under: Felis catus (domestic cat)
Lineage: Eukaryota; Metazoa; Chordata; Mammalia; Carnivora; Felidae
Also listed under: 1 other name
Rfam family: tRNA
About the family: Transfer RNA (tRNA) molecules are approximately 80 nucleotides in length. Their secondary structure includes four short double-helical elements and three loops (D, anti-codon, and T loops).
Source: Rfam by way of RNAcentral
ACUUGGCUGGCUUAGUUGGUAGGGCAUGUGGCUCUUAAUCUCGAGGCUGUGAGUUUGAGCCCCAUGUUGGGUG